This is a non-coding RNA of Ciona savignyi (Pacific transparent sea squirt), 74 nucleotides long. Lineage: Eukaryota; Metazoa; Chordata; Ascidiacea; Phlebobranchia; Cionidae. The record is from Rfam.
GGCCGAUUAGCUCAGUUGGUUAGAGCGUCGUGCUAAUAACGCGAAUGUCGCGGGUACGAUCCCCGUACUGGCCA